UUCCCUGCAAUGCGUCAAACUGGGGCGAGCCACUGCAAGGUGGUGGUGGGUGGUCAAGGUGAAGCCCCACGACAAGGAUGCCAAAAUGAAAUACCAGGAGUGCAACAAGAUCGUGAAGCAGAAGGCCUUUGAGCGGGCCAUCGCAGGCGACGAGCACAAGCGCUCCGUGGUGGACUCGCUGGACAUCGAGAGCAUGACCAUCGAGGGUGAGUACAGCGGACCCAAGCUUGAGGACGACAAAGUGACAAUCACCUUCAUGAAGGGGCUCAUGCAGUGGUACAAGGACCAGAAGAAACUGCACCAGAAAUGCGCCUACCAGGUAAUGCACCUGUCAGGUACCGGGCACCCGGGAACCCUGGGAUGGCAUCACAGCACUGCCAGGCGCGGGCACUGAGCAAAAUGACAGGAGAAGGGCAGCCACAACAGCCAACACCAAACAGGAGUCGUGGUCAUUAUGGAUUGGCAGUAAUCCCUCCCAAUAUUCAGAUACAAUAAACUAUCUCUAC
Long non-coding RNA from Homo sapiens (human), 506 nucleotides. Ensembl annotates it as PPP5 tetratricopeptide repeat domain containing 1, pseudogene. Its record names the gene PPP5D1P. The record is from Ensembl. NCBI's taxonomy places the organism in Eukaryota, Metazoa, Chordata, Mammalia, Primates, Hominidae.